RNAcentral lists this non-coding RNA (186 nucleotides) under Betaproteobacteria bacterium. Lineage: Bacteria; Pseudomonadati; Pseudomonadota; Betaproteobacteria. The record is from RNAcentral.
UCCAUCUCAUCGGUUUAUGAUAUCCGCCGCUGCCAGGUGCUCGGGAAAGAGGUGAGAAGCCUCUGCUGCCCCCGCAACGGUAAGCGAGAGAAGGGUUCCAGCAUCGCCACUGCGCGCUUCACUGCGCGGGAAGGCGGGACCCCAUGCCUCGCGAGCCCGGAGACCGGUCUGGAAGCCUCUUCAACC